AUAGCUCAGUGGUAGGGUGUGUGUUUAACAAGCACAAGGUCCUGGGUUCAAUCCCUAAU
RNAcentral lists this transfer RNA (59 nucleotides) under Camelus bactrianus (Bactrian camel). It matches the Rfam family "tRNA", at positions 7 to 64 of the family's 71-position model. From Rfam's summary of the family: Transfer RNA (tRNA) molecules are approximately 80 nucleotides in length. RNAcentral also lists the same sequence under 1 other name. The record is from Rfam by way of RNAcentral. Lineage: Eukaryota; Metazoa; Chordata; Mammalia; Artiodactyla; Camelidae.